UACAGGGGGUGCAAGCGUUAUUCGGAAUUACUGGGCGUAAAGCGCGCGUAGGCGGACCUGCAAGUCGGGGGUGAAAGCCCGAGGCUCAACCUCGGAACUGCCUUCGAUACUGCGGGUCUCGAGUCCGGGAGAGGUGAGUGGAAUUCCUAGUGUAGAGGUGAAAUUCGUAGAUAUUAGGAAGAACACCAGUGGCGAAGGCGGCUCACUGGCCCGGUACUGACGCUGAGGCGCGAAAGCGUGGGGAGCAAACAGG
Molecule: ribosomal RNA, 253 nt
Filed under: uncultured bacterium
Lineage: Bacteria
Description: partial 16S ribosomal RNA
Rfam family: Bacterial small subunit ribosomal RNA
Source: RNAcentral